CCCACCGCCGCGGCGCUUGGCCUGGCAGCGGCCGGGCGGUGGCGCAGGAAAGCGGCAAGGCAGCACUGCACAAUUGUUCUGGUGGCACUGCUGGCUGGGAGACCGGCUGGGGCCGCCAGAGCUGGGUGCUGCUGGAGCGAGAGGUGCCAGCGGAGGGUCGCAGCUCCAGGAGGACUCUCGAAAGGAGCCAUGGAGUACUAUCUUGCUGCUGGCGCCCGAAAUAUAGAUGGAGUGCUGAGCGCAAAGGAGAAUAGGGGUGAGCUGUGCAAGAAGGCUAUUGAGAUGGUGGCCUGAAUGCCCAUGAGCGUCUCUGUCUUUCUAGCUUGAGUGCAGAAGACAGCAGGUGUAGUAAGAUGUACUGAGCUGCUGGACAUCCCGCUCGGGGUCAAAAUCCCUUUGUUGCCUGGCUCCCACCCUGUCUUUUGCCAGACCGAGCUGGGGGAAAAGGUGGUUUGCACUCUGUGGGAGUUCAACGAAUACAGGCAGUAUCUGAUGACACUCAAAACAGAGGCUGACAAAAUGUGCCAGCGAGAACAAGUUUCUUGCCAUGACUGUGCAGAGGAUGGAGAAGCUUGAGGCCCUUAAAGAAGAGAAACGCCUCCUCCAGCAGGCUGAGCGAGACCAG
Long non-coding RNA from Dromaius novaehollandiae (emu), 625 nucleotides. RefSeq lists it as uncharacterized. The record is from RefSeq and is a predicted model, not a curated record. The transcript has 4 exons. Lineage: Eukaryota; Metazoa; Chordata; Aves; Casuariiformes; Dromaiidae.